Molecule: ribosomal RNA, 119 nt
Organism: Hucho hucho (huchen)
Lineage: Eukaryota; Metazoa; Chordata; Actinopteri; Salmoniformes; Salmonidae
Source: Ensembl
GCUUACGGCCAUACCAACCUGAAAGCCCCCGAUCUCGUCAGAUCUCGGAAGCUAAGCAAGGUUGGGCCUGGUUAGUACUUGGAUGGGAGACUUCCUGGGAAUACCAGGUGCUGUAAGCA